AAUUUUUAAUCAUUUUAUUAAAAUUAAUAAAAUUACAUUUAAAUCCUUUUUCAAUUAAAUAAUUUCAAUUUUAAUAUUCAUUUAAAUAAAUUUAUUGUAAUUCAUUUAUUCUAAAUUAUUAGUUACAUCUUGAUUUGAUUUAAUUUUUUAUUUAAAAUUUUAAAUAUUAUAAAAUUUAUAAAAAAUAUUUUUUUAACAAUAAUAUAUAAAUUUAUAAAUUAAGUAAAUUAAUUCGUGGAUUAUCAAUUAUUAAACAAAUUCCUCUAAAUAAAAUAAAAUACUGCCAAAUUAUUUAAGUUUCAUAUAAUAAUAUUAAUUACUAUUUUAAUAUUAAACUAUUUAA
RNAcentral lists this ribosomal RNA (343 nucleotides) under Dahlica lichenella. Its description in RNAcentral is "partial 12S ribosomal RNA". Lineage: Eukaryota; Metazoa; Arthropoda; Insecta; Lepidoptera; Psychidae. The record is from RNAcentral.